CUUGGUUAGAGGAAGUAAAAGUCGUAACAAGGUCUCCGUAGGUGAACCUGCGGAGGGAUCAUUAACACGUUCCAAACGUUUCAAACAAACCGGUUGACUGUACCCUCCCUAGUAUGGAUGUGCCGAACAAUGCUGUGUUUAGUGGUGGGUGAGCCUUCGGGUUCACAAAUGCACUUGUUCUGGGGUUAACAACCCAAGGUCUCCUUAUUAGGCUUUUUUUUUUCUAUUCUCCAUCACUUACAUACUAACCCUUUUCACCUUUGAAAUCUUUUGACUAAAUCUUUCGAACGAAGAAAUUUGUUUGGAAUUGUAUAUGAAACAUUGUACAACUCUUAGCAAUGGAUAUCUUGGUUCUC
RNAcentral lists this unclassified non-coding RNA (356 nucleotides) under fungal sp. RNAcentral describes it as "partial internal transcribed spacer region". The stretch from base 1 to 64 matches the Rfam family "Eukaryotic small subunit ribosomal RNA", at positions 1768 to 1831 of the family's 1831-position model. Lineage: Eukaryota; Fungi. The record is from RNAcentral.